Molecule: long non-coding RNA, 1259 nt
Organism: Herpailurus yagouaroundi (jaguarundi)
Lineage: Eukaryota; Metazoa; Chordata; Mammalia; Carnivora; Felidae
Exons: 2
Source: RefSeq, a predicted model, not a curated record
AACAGUUAGAAGCUUUUCACAUCACUAAUGUAUACAGCAAAAUAAAUAGGGUAGGCAUUUGGGUUAAAAUCAACAUAAUUUACUUGCUAUUCAGUAACCCUUUUCAUUAUAAAAUGCUUCUUUCCUUGGGAAGGGGGAGGUGGGUACCGUGUUCUCUACUCACAUGGAAAAACUUAAACAGGGUAAAUUAAAAUAUAGCAAGGGGGGAAAAAGAUAACCCAAUUCUAUUUGAUACAAUUAUCUUUCCAUUUUAAUCAAACCACAUCAUGCUUAUGAUCAAUAAUUGAAUGGAAAAUGUCUUUCAUCUUCCAUACCCAACACAAAACUGCUGUAAGAAUUAAUGAGCAGGUUCCCCCGGUGGAGCACACGCACAUUAUUUCAGCUGUGCAUGCCCUCUUUCAGACCAGAAGCUCACUAAAUGUCACUCACCCCAGCCCUGAGCCCUCCUGAGGCUCAUCCGAAUCCCUCCACUACCAGGCAGCAUGGAAACACGUAUCUUAAACCUCUUCUUCUCACAACCCCAUAUUCUUUGGUUGUUUCCUAUGUAGGUUUCCUGCCUGCAGGGGCUGUGUGCUAUUUCUCACAACAAUCCCCAAACCACCCAUAUCAUCUUAUUAAAAGUACAAUAAACAGUCUCACAAAUCCCCUUUAUCACACCCUAGUUCAAGUCCAAGUUGUUCUCAUUCCCCAAGUGGAAUACCAACUGGUCCUGCUCUCUGUUGCAAUCCACUCCUCAUGCAACAGCUAAAGUGAUUUUUUUACAAACAUAAAUCAGAUCAACUUGCUUGAACUGCUUGGAUUCCUUUGAAGUUCCUACAGUGUGCUUUAAAUUCAUAUUCUUAUCCAUGACCUGUAAAGCCUCACAGGAUCUGCCCUAACCUUACCUUUGCCAAUCUCUCCCAAGCUCCCUGCACUCCAGCUUCUAGCCUUCUGUCAGCUCUACACCAUGCCAAAUUCCUGCCUUCCACAGCGCCUUUCCGCUCCCUGCCCCUCUGCCUGGAACCCUGGUCUCCUGGCUUUUUUCCUGUUUGCCUUCUUCCCCUUCUGGCUCGGAUUGAAAGUCACCUUCUCAGAAAAGCCUUUCUAAAAGUAUUAAUGAAAUACCCACAGUAAUGAAAGAGAAGAAUGCAUUAUACAAGAUGCUAUCGGAAGCAAGAACAUUCAUCACUGAGUAAUACUGUGGAUAUUCAUUUCCCUACCUUUUUUAAAAAGUGAAAUUACUGAUGUAAUUAAAAUGCAAUAUAUAAAAGAUUCAAGAA